RNAcentral lists this ribosomal RNA (508 nucleotides) under Hydroporus limbatus. RNAcentral describes it as "partial 16S ribosomal RNA". It matches the Rfam family "Bacterial large subunit ribosomal RNA", at positions 1825 to 2597 of the family's 2925-position model. Lineage: Eukaryota; Metazoa; Arthropoda; Insecta; Coleoptera; Dytiscidae. The record is from RNAcentral.
GUCCUUUAGUUAAAAAUAAUUUAAGGUCUAACCUGCCCAUUGAUUAAAUUAAAAGGCCGCAGUAAUUUGACUGUGCAAAGGUAGCAUAAUCAUUAGUUUUUUAAUUAAAAGCUUGUAUGAAUGGUUGGACGAGAUAAAAUCUGUCUCUUUAUAAAUAAUAGAAUUUAAUUUUUAAGUUAAAAAGCUUAAAUUUUAAUAAAAGACGAGAAGACCCUAUAGAUCUUUAUAUAAUUUUUUUUAGUAUUAAUAAAGAAGAUUUUAUUUAUUAAUAGAUUUUAUAUUUUAUUGGGGUAAUAAAAAGAUUAAAAAAAUUCUUUAAAAUUUAACAAAAAUUAUUGAUUAUAUGAUCCAUUAUUUAUGAUUAUAAGAUUAAGUUACCUUAGGGAUAACAGCGUAAUUUUUUUAGAGAGUUCUUAUCAAUAAAAAAGUUUGCGACCUCGAUGUUGGAUUAAAAGUAAUUCUGGGUGUAGAAGUUCAGAAUUUUGGUCUGUUCGACCAUUAAAUUUUU